GGGCGAUCUUCAUGGUGCUUAUUUUCACAAUUAUCUUCACUUGUUUGUGUGUUCCCCGACUAUCAUGGUCACAUGAUCUGGAACCUGUUCAUUAUUCACUUAUAUCUCCUGGAACGUAUCGACUGUAUGACACCACACCUUAUAAACAACAGCCCACUAUCUCGCAAUACCAUUCACUCACUGAAGCGGAAAGUUCCCAACAUCAGCCAUAUAGGUAAAUUUAGCUAAAGCUGUGUGGAAAUUUCUCUUUUUACCUAGUUUUCCUCGUGCCUUUUCUUUAAUACAAUAUCUUAUUGGUUAGUCUAGUAUCUUGGAGAAAUUAUCAGGUGAAUCUGCCCCAAAGGCCUAGAACUGUGCAUCCAACGGAACAGGCAUAAAAUGUCUUAAAAACAUGUGUUGAAGACAAAUCAAAUGAUAUAAAUAUCAUGCGAAAAUUUGUUCAAAACAGCCAAGCUAUUUUGUACGGCUACUCUCUUACAAAAAAUACUCCUUCUACAAUUUAGUGAACUUAAAGCCCCGUUUACACUACGCUCAAUUUUUGGUACGGCACGGAUAAAAUUGGUACAAAAAUCGAGCGUAGGUAAACGGGGCUCAAAAUAUCGUAGUCCAAGAACCAAUAAAGUGGUACGGGUACCAAUUUUAUCCGUGACGUACCAAAAAUUGAGCAUAGUGUAAACGGGACUUAACUCUUAAGCGACUUGCCAUUUGGAUGCGUAGUUGAAGCGUCCUAGCUUCGAUUAAUAAAUCCUGGUACUUCGAAGCUCACGUUUAAGCAGAAGCAUGCUAUCCCCUCUUCGGAAAUCUGGCCUCCUUUUAGACAAAUAUGAGCAUAAUUCAUAAUAACUGAGUCUCAUAUUUCACAAUUUUUACAUUCAUAUUUUUUUUGGCGGAGGAGCUGUUAUUGGACAGCUAAAAGUCUGGGGCCGGUUGUAUAAAAAGUGAUUAAAGUUAACUAUGGUUAAGUGCAAACGUCAUCCAAUAAGAAGCGCCUAUUUAAGAGUUAAUAACUAUUUAACUACAAAAUAGUGAUUAAAAAAGUGAUUAAAAGAGUUUUAUACAACCGGCCCCUGCAUUUUUGUUGUUGUGUAUCACAGGGUGUCCACGGGCCUUGAAAAUCCUGGAAAGUCAUUGAAGUGGAAAAACAAAAUUCCAGGACUGGAAAGUCCUUGAAAAUCAGUAUAAGUCCUUGAAAGUCCUGGAAUUAAUUUCCUUAACCUCCCGCUGUGCCAACAUUAGUGAUUUUGAUUAAAAUAACUGAAUAAAGUGAAUUAUUUACGGCAAAUCCGUGUCAUUUUCAAAGAUUUUUCCCAGUUCUAGGUCCUUGAAUUUACUGAAAAUGGGCCCUGAAUGUCCUGGAAAAGUCCUUGAAUUUCACCUUCACCCAAGGGUGGAGACCCUGGUGUCCGUAAACUCGAUAUCUAACGCAUGCAAAGGCCAUGCAGACAUGCUGAACUCACUCUGAAGUUCCUUAGUACCUUUCUCUAUUCACCCUGUAUAUAUAAUCAAACUCUUAUUACCACUCUUGACAGAUAUGAAAGACUCGUGCAGCAAACUCCACCUCAGUUCAACUACCCUGAGCCAUCAGCACCACCCAAAAGUCCUUAAGAAACAACGUGAGAAAUGAUAGUAAAUUAUUCAUAUUGUUUGGAGUUAGAAUAUUGCAAUAGUAGAAGUUAGAAUAUCAGAAUUUAGUAUAAUUACAAAGGUGAUUAGAGAAAAUUGUGGCCGCUGAUUGGUCAAGCGACCUCGGAUUAUUACGCGAUAAUCACCUAAGCGGUUUUUUCAAAAUGGCAGCGAGUUGUUUUGCCAAAGUGACAGAUAAAGAAAUAAGUAAUUUUAAAGAAAAUGCUGUACCUAAGAGCACGAAAGAAGAGACAAAAUUUGGCUUAAAAUUAUUUUGAGGUAGGAAACUAAGUUGCAGAAAUCUGCCUAACUUUAUUUCGCAUAAAACAUCGUUUUAUUUUAAAUUGCCG
Molecule: non-coding RNA, 1973 nt
Organism: Paramuricea clavata
Lineage: Eukaryota; Metazoa; Cnidaria; Anthozoa; Malacalcyonacea; Plexauridae
Source: the annotation of a GenBank genome assembly